UAGUUCAAGAUUCGGAUCCAUUUCUAGUAUCGGACUGUACAUUCUAGAUAUAUCGUCCACCAAAGAGAUUCCAUGACAGCAUUAUGAAACAAAGCAGAAUGAUGGAUCAUAAAGAAUAAUUCAAAUUUAGAAAUGAUGUAGACAUUUUUUUGGUCCAAAACAACAACUGUCAGAAUUCGGUCAAUUAAAUUAAAAUAAUGAGUAUUAAAUUAUUGUGGAAUUGUGCUAGAAUAAUCUUGAUUUCAGGUUUAUCCUUCGGCGUUUAACAUACGCAUGUAAGACGAUACAUCACGGGACACGUAAAUUGGGAAAGCUACACAACAGUGCGGGCAGCCGCACAUGAUUUGCGUGUCCCUGCUGAGUCUAUUAAGUGUAGCCACACUGAUCGCGUGCACGCCCUUCUGCAGUCGCGGUCUGUUCAGCCGGAGGUGUACCUGCCCCGAACUCCCUAUAUGCCCCGACUGCGGGACGCCUUAUUGAACAACGUGUAAAUUUAAAACUAUACCUUAUCAUAACUAACGCAUUAAUUAAACCUAAGACUCUUUGUGAGCACAAGUCGUUAUAUAGGGAGACUAGUUCUUUAUUUGUUACCGCUGUGCAUAUACAAUAUUCAGUCUCGAAAGUACUGACAAUAAUAUUUAAGGAUUAUAAUAUUAUUAUAUAACUGAUAUCAGUCCCAUUAAUUACCCCCCACUUUUUUCUACUUGUUUACAUUACCCUUUGAAUUACCAGCCAGUAUUUAAGUCACUUGAAAAUUUUCUACCUGUGCUCUCACUAUAAAUUAUAUAUUUUUUUAUGUUAAUUGUAGUGCAAAUGUCACAAUAUAUCUGUUAAAAUGAUUUGCUUGAGUUGUGCCACGGCGUUGGCCGCUGUGGCGCUCAUAGCUUGCGGGCCGAUAGCUUGCGAGAGAUUCCUUAAAUGUUUCCUUAAAUCCGGCAAACGAUAGUACCGUACAUAUAAACUCAUAUACAACGCCUAUAUACGUCUGUGAUACUAGAUACUUUGUCACAUAUAUACAUACAUAUAUAUAUAAUGAUCUGUCUAUCCGCCGCGACAGCCCUGGCGGCGGCGGGCAUCAUAGUAGCCGGGCCGAUGAUAUGCGAGCGGUUUCUGAACUGUUUUAAAAAAACCAAAAAGUGAACAUCGCACAUGUGGCUUUGAAUAAAAUGUUUUUUAUCAGUAAAA
This is a long non-coding RNA of Danaus plexippus (monarch butterfly), 1185 nucleotides long. RefSeq lists it as uncharacterized. The record is from RefSeq and is a predicted model, not a curated record. The transcript is spliced from 4 exons. Lineage: Eukaryota; Metazoa; Arthropoda; Insecta; Lepidoptera; Nymphalidae.